RNAcentral lists this microRNA precursor (78 nucleotides) under Paramuricea clavata. Lineage: Eukaryota; Metazoa; Cnidaria; Anthozoa; Malacalcyonacea; Plexauridae. The record is from RNAcentral.
AUGUUUGUUUGUCUAAACUAUGCCACGCUUCUUUUAAGUUUAAAGAAGCGUGGCAUAGUUUAGACAAACAAACAUUUA